UACAACUCAGUUCAGUAUGAAUUGCAUAUUUUAAUGGCUGAAAAUAUAUCUGAUCUCUUUCAGAACAUCACCUGAUCACCUGUCUGGAAUCCACCUGCUUAAGUUCUGGUCAAGGGGCUCAUCGGCUAUCAAGUUAUAGAUUUCAGUGGCUAAUAGAAGACACUGCUGAGGUCAGACGAGAGUGCAUCCUCAAAGGUCUGUGUGUACCUAAAUGAAGAUCCAGAGAAGCUGGUGAGAGAGUACAUGGACGUUGAUGAAUGAAAUGGCCAAAGACGAGACUGUCCUCGGAAUCGUCAUUUGAGCAGAGGGUGCAGAGGCUGCCGAUCCUCAUCUGGAUGUUGGGAUUGUCCUGGAGGAGGUGGAAGUUAUGAACAGCUUGGGCAGUGUAUCUUCUGCAAUAGUGAUGCUGCUGGGACUAAUCUACGCACUAAACUUGAGCUACCCUCAAGUUUAGUGCGUUCAGCACUCAACUUGCUCAGUAACUCAAGCAUACCUUUGAAGUAAUACACAAAAAUAAUAAUGAAAUUGGAUGGAAAGAACUUAUCAAAG
Long non-coding RNA from Poeciliopsis prolifica (blackstripe livebearer), 549 nucleotides. RefSeq lists it as uncharacterized. The transcript has 3 exons. The record is from RefSeq and is a predicted model, not a curated record. NCBI's taxonomy places the organism in Eukaryota, Metazoa, Chordata, Actinopteri, Cyprinodontiformes, Poeciliidae.